UGGCAGUGCCAUUCUCUCUGGCAUCACUGCGAAAGCUUAGUCAGCAAACGAAUUUCAUGCUUUUGCGUUGAGAGAGCUUUCAGAGUUUCACAAUUUGACGCGAAGCACAAUCAAAUCUCUUUGAGCUUGGGCAAGGGCAGUACCGGCAACUGGGGGAGGGAGGCCGGCUGGCACUGCGCAUCACGCUCUUCGCUCCCCGCCGCCGGUUGUCCCGCUCUUUUGCUCUCUCGCUCACCCCAUUGCCCUCCUCUUUGUAUACCUUCUAUACUUUUGCUGUGCUGGCAGUGCAAUUUGUGUUGCUACACUGCACGAAAAAAGAUGUGUUCUUGAAGCAUAAACUUCCAAAGCUUUUGAAUGCACAGCGAGAACUGGAUCCCAUUACAAAAUGUGGAGGAUUCUUUUCUAAAAUCUCGGUGCCAAGUACUGCGACCACGUACCUUAUGUUGUGAGUUCUGUGGAUCGAACUGCUGUAUCAUUAAAAUUGAUUUGGAUUCCUUUUCAAAGUCUGGGAAUCCCCUAUCAAAUUUUGUGGAUCGUACUUGAAAUUCGGUAUAAAUUAAAAGUCUUU
RNAcentral lists this small RNA (568 nucleotides) under Drosophila pseudoobscura pseudoobscura. RNAcentral describes it as "GA32705". The record is from RNAcentral. Lineage: Eukaryota; Metazoa; Arthropoda; Insecta; Diptera; Drosophilidae.